GUAGGUGGCAAGCGUUGUCCGGAAUCAUUGGGCGUAAAGCGCGCGCAGGCGGUCCUUUAAGUCUGAUGUGAAAGCCCACGGCUCAACCGUGGAGGGUCAUUGGAAACUGGGGGACUUGAGUACAGAAGAGGAAAGCGGAAUUCCAAGUGUAGCGGUGAAAUGCGUAGAGAUUUGGAGGAACACCAGUGGCGAAGGCGGCUUUCUGGUCUGUAACUGACGCUGAGGCGCGAAAGCGUGGGGAGCAAACAGGGAUUAGAUACCCUGGUAGUCCACGCCGUAAACGAUGAGUGCUAAGUGUUAGGGGGUUUCCCGCCCCUUAGUGCUGCAGCUAACGCAUUAAGCACUCCGCCUGGGGAGUACGGCCGCAAGGCUG
This 373-nucleotide ribosomal RNA is filed under the name uncultured organism. Its description in RNAcentral is "partial 16S ribosomal RNA". It matches the Rfam family "Bacterial small subunit ribosomal RNA", at positions 527 to 896 of the family's 1533-position model. The record is from RNAcentral.